GGGUUGUGAGGUUAAGCGACUAAGCGUACACGGUGGAUGCCCUGGCAGUCAGAGGCGAUGAAGGACGUGCUAAUCUGCGAAAAGCGUCGGUAAGGUGAUAUGAACCGUUACAGCCGGCGAUGUCCGAAUGGGGAAACCCAGUGCAAUUCGUUGCACUAUCGUUAACUGAAUACAUAGGUUAACGAGGCGAACCGGGGGAACUGAAACAUCUAAGUACCCCGAGGAAAAGAAAUCAACCGAGAUUCCCCCAGUAGCGGCGAGCGAACGGGGAGCAGCCCAGAGUCUGAAUCAGCUU
This 295-nucleotide ribosomal RNA is filed under the name Klebsiella pneumoniae. RNAcentral describes it as "partial 23S ribosomal RNA". It matches the Rfam family "Bacterial large subunit ribosomal RNA", at positions 1 to 287 of the family's 2925-position model. Lineage: Bacteria; Pseudomonadati; Pseudomonadota; Gammaproteobacteria; Enterobacterales; Enterobacteriaceae. RNAcentral also lists the same sequence under 1 other name. The record is from RNAcentral.